This 350-nucleotide ribosomal RNA is filed under the name uncultured Glomus. Its description in RNAcentral is "bacterial SSU rRNA". It matches the Rfam family "Eukaryotic small subunit ribosomal RNA", at positions 569 to 925 of the family's 1831-position model. Lineage: Eukaryota; Fungi; Glomeromycota; Glomeromycetes; Glomerales; Glomeraceae. The record is from RNAcentral.
AGCAGCCGCGGUAAUUCCAGUUCCAAUAGCGUAUAUUAAAGUUGUUCAGUUAAAAAGUUGGUAGUUGAAUUUGGGGAUCAAUGUUUCGGUAGUCCAAUAGUACGUACUGAUUUUAUUGAUUCCUCCUUUCUGAUGAACUAUGAUGUCAUUAAUUUGGUGUCAUAGGGAAUCAGGACUGUUACUUUGAAAAAAUUAGAGUGUUUAAAGCAGGCUCACGCUUGAAUACAUUAGCAUGGAAUAACGAAAUAGGACGUUUGAUUCUAUUUUGUUGGUUUCUAGGAUCGACGUAAUGAUUAAUAGGGAUAGUUGGGGGCAUUAGUAUUCAAUUGUCAGAGGUGAAAUUCUUGGAU